This 344-nucleotide long non-coding RNA is filed under the name Ananas comosus (pineapple). RNAcentral's name for it is "long non-coding RNA (ACOM_LNC018829)". Lineage: Eukaryota; Viridiplantae; Streptophyta; Magnoliopsida; Poales; Bromeliaceae. The record is from RNAcentral.
GGAAAAAAAAAAAAGAAGAAGGAAACUAUUGUAAACACUCAGCUACCGUUUGAUUCGGGGUUAAGGAAAAACUAGUUAUUCCAGGGAUAGGAUUAAGUUUAGGGUUAAGGUGGGGUUAAAGUAUUUUUGUAUUUGGUUGGAGGUUAGAGUUAAGUCAGGAUAGUGAAAAAUAGUGUUUGGUUGGAAUAAGUGGGAUAAGAAGGAUAGUGGGUUAUUAUGAAUAAAAAAUAGUAUUUGGUUGGAGUUUGGUGGGGUUAGGUGGAGUUAGCUAACCCGAAAUAUCCCAUUUGAGGUGGCCCAUUUUUAGAAGUGUUUGGGGAUAAAAUGGGGGUUAAGGGGUUAUU